GGACGAUCUGUAGCUGGUCUGAGAGGAUGAUCAGCCACACCNGGGACUGAGACACGGCCCGGACUCCUACGGGAGGCAGCAGUGGGGAAUAUUGGACAAUGGGGGCAACCCUGAUCCAGCCAUGCCGCGUGUGUGAAGAAGGCCUUUUGGUUGUAAAGCACUUUAAGCAGUGAAGAAGACUCCGUGGUUAAUACCCACGGACGAUGACAUUAGCUGCAGAAUAAGCACCGGCUAACUCUGUGCCAGCAGCCGCGGUAAUACAGAGGGUGCAAGCGUUAAUCGGAAUUACUGGGCGUAAAGCGAGCGUAGGUGGCUUGAUAAGUCAGAUGUGAAAUCCCCGGGCUUAACCUGGGAACUGCAUCUGAUACUGUUAAGCUAGAGUAGGUGAGAGGGAAGUAGAAUNUCAGGUGUAGCGGUGAAAUGCGUAGAGAUCUGAAGGAAUACCGAUGGCGAAGGCAGCUCCCUGGCAUCAUACUGACACUGAGGCUCGAAAGCGUGGGUAGCAAACAGGAUUAGAUACCCUGGUAGUCCACGCCGUAAACGAUGUCUACUAGUCGUUGGGUCCCUUGAGGACUUAGUGACGCAGCUAACGCAAUAAGUAGACCGCCUGGGGAGUACGGCCGCAAGGUUAAAACUCAAAUGAAUUGACGGGGGCCCGCACAAGCGGUGGAGCAUGUGGUUUAAUUCGAUGCAACGCGAAGAACCUUACCUGGUCUUGACAUAUCUAGAAUCCUGCAGAGAUGCGGGAGUGCCUUCGGGAAUUAGAAUACAGGUGCUGCAUGGCUGUCGUCAGCUCGUGUCGUGAGAUGUUGGGUUAAGUCCCGCAACGAGCGCAACCCUUGUCCUUAGUUACCAGCGGGUUAAGCCGGGAACUCUAAGGAUACUGCCAGUGACAAACUGGAGGAAGGCGGGGACGACGUCAAGUCAUCAUGGCCCUUACGACCAGGGCUACACACGUGCUACAAUGGUAGGUACAGAGGGCAGCUACACAGCGAUGUGAUGCGAAUCUCAAAAAGCCUAUCGUAGUCCAGAUUGGAGUCUGCAACUCGACUCCAUGAAGUAGGAAUCGCUAGAAUCGCGAUCAGA
RNAcentral lists this ribosomal RNA (1086 nucleotides) under uncultured bacterium. RNAcentral's name for it is "bacterial SSU rRNA". It matches the Rfam family "Bacterial small subunit ribosomal RNA", at positions 274 to 1353 of the family's 1533-position model. The record is from RNAcentral.